GGCUUAGAAGUGUGGACGCCAGUCUGCAUGGAGCCGACCUUGAAAUACCACCCUUUAAUGUUUGAUGUUCUAACGUUGACCCGUAAUCCGGGUUGCGGACAGUGUCUGGUGGGUAGUUUGACUGGGGCGGUCUCCUCCUAAAGAGUAACGGAGGAGCACGAAGGUUGGCUAAUCCUGGUCGGACAUCAGGAGGUUAGUGCAAUGGCAUAAGCCAGCUUGACUGCGAGCGUGACGGCGCGAGCAGGUGCGAAAGCAGGUCAUAGUGAUCCGGUGGUUCUGAAUGGAAGGGCCAUCGCUCAACGGAUAAAAGGUACUCCGGGGAUAACAGGCUGAUACCGCCCAAGAGUUCAUAUCGACGGCGGUGUUUGGCACCUCGAUGUCGGCUCAUCACAUCCUGGGGCUGAAGUAGGUCCCAAGGGUAUGGCUGUUCGCCAUUUAAAGUGGUACGCGAGCUGGGUUUAGAACGUCGUGAGACAGUUCGGUCCCUAUCUGCCGUGGGCGCUGGAGAACUGAGGGGGGCUGCUCCUAGUACGAGAGGACCGGAGUGGACGCAUCACUGGUGUUCGGGUUGUCAUGCCAAUGGCACUGCCCGGUAGCUAAAUGCGGAAGAGAUAAGUGCUGAAAGCAUCUAAGCACGAAACUUGCC
Molecule: ribosomal RNA, 646 nt
Filed under: Escherichia coli
Lineage: Bacteria; Pseudomonadati; Pseudomonadota; Gammaproteobacteria; Enterobacterales; Enterobacteriaceae
Description: partial 23S ribosomal RNA
Rfam family: Bacterial large subunit ribosomal RNA
Source: RNAcentral